UUGACGGAGAGUUUGAUCCUGGCUCAGGACGAACGCUGGCGGCGGGCCUAACACAUGCAAGUCGAACGAGAUGCCUUCGGGCAUCUAGUGGCGAACGGGUGAGUAAUACGUGAGGAACCUGCCCCGAAGACGGGGAUAACCGUGGGAAACUGCGGCUAAUACCCGAUGUCCCCGAUGCGGCGCAUGCCGCGACGAGGAAAUGCUCCGGUGCUUCGGGAGGGCCUCGCGGCCUAUCAGCUAGUUGGUGAGGUAACGGCUCACCAAGGCUUCGACGGGUAGCUGGUCUGAGAGGACGAUCAGCCACACUGGGACUGAGACACGGCCCAGACUCCUGCGGGAGGCAGCAGUGGGGAAUCUUGCGCAAUGGGCGAAAGCCUGACGCAGCCACGCCGCGUGGGGGACGAAGGCCCUCGGGUUGUAAACCCCUUUCAGCAGGGACGAAAAUGACGGUACCUGCAGAAGAAGCUCCGGCCAACUACGUGCCAGCAGCCGCGGUAACACGUAGGGAGCGAGCGUUGUCCGGAUUUAUUGGGCGUAAAG
This 540-nucleotide ribosomal RNA is filed under the name bacterium. Its description in RNAcentral is "bacterial SSU rRNA". It matches the Rfam family "Bacterial small subunit ribosomal RNA", at positions 1 to 565 of the family's 1533-position model. The record is from RNAcentral.